RNAcentral lists this ribosomal RNA (493 nucleotides) under uncultured bacterium. RNAcentral describes it as "partial 16S ribosomal RNA". It matches the Rfam family "Bacterial small subunit ribosomal RNA", at positions 28 to 507 of the family's 1533-position model. The record is from RNAcentral.
GAUGAACGCUGGCGGCGUGCUUAACACAUGCAAGUCGAACGGAAAGGCCUGCUUUCCCUUGUGGAUUGCGGGUACUCGAGUGGCGAACGGGUGAGUAACACGUGAGUGAUCUGCCCCCAACUUGGGUAUAAGCCUGGGAAACUGGGUCUAAUUCCCGAUAGGACUGCAGGGUGGUGCCUGUGGUGGAAAACGAUUUUCUAGUGGUUGGGGAUGAGCUCGCGGCCUAUCAGCUUGUUGGUGGGGUAAUGGCCUACCAAGGCGGCGACGGGUAGCCGGCCUGGGAGGGUGGACGGCCACAUUGGGACGGAGAUACGGCCCAGACUCCUACGGGAGGCAGCAGUGGGGAAUAUUGCACAAUGGGCGGAAGCCUGAUGCAGCGGCGCCGCGUGGGGAUGACGGGCUUCGGGUUGUAAACUCCUUUCGACCGCGAGGAAGCCACCUGGUUGGAAGGGUGGUGACGGUAGUGGUAGAAGAAGCACCGGCUAACUACGUG